GAUGAAGAACGCAGCGAAAUGCGAUAAGUAAUGUGAAUUGCAGAAUUCCGUGAAUCAUCGAAUCUUUGAACGCACAUUGCGCCCUCUGGUAUUCCGGGGGGCAUGCCUGUCCGAGCGUCAUUUACAACCCUCAAGCCCGGCUUGUGUGAUGGGUGCCGUCCCCUACGGGACGCGCCCCGAAGGCAAUGGCGGCGUCGCGGUUAUCCGAUCAGCCAAAGUGUAUGGGGCUUUGUCACUCACUUUACGGCCCGGACCGGCGCCAGUCCGAAUCAAUCUUUUUUCUAAAGUUGACCUCGGAUCAGGUAGGGAUACCCGCUGAACUUAAGCAUAUCAAUAAGCGGAGGA
RNAcentral lists this unclassified non-coding RNA (345 nucleotides) under soil metagenome. RNAcentral's name for it is "partial contains 5.8S ribosomal RNA, internal transcribed spacer 2, and large subunit ribosomal RNA". The stretch from base 1 to 120 matches the Rfam family "5.8S ribosomal RNA", at positions 35 to 154 of the family's 154-position model. The record is from RNAcentral.